RNAcentral lists this long non-coding RNA (532 nucleotides) under Equus asinus (donkey). RNAcentral's name for it is "lncRNA (ENSEASG00005025496.1)". Lineage: Eukaryota; Metazoa; Chordata; Mammalia; Perissodactyla; Equidae. The record is from RNAcentral.
GAAAAACAGAAUUUGGAGAGUGAUGGAUUGGGUGUGUGGGAUGAGAGAGAAGGGGAGUAAAACACGGCCUCCAGGUUUUAGGCUUGACUGUGGGGCUGUAAGGCCAUAUCCUGAGUUGUCCUCUGAGGAGUAAGACCACUGACUUUGGUGAAACACGCUUGCUGAGGCUGGAUGGACCAAGUGAUUCAGCGCCGUGAAAUGGAAAAGGAUUGAAAUGGUAAACAGGAGCGCUCAGGGUUCCACCCCCAAGUUCCUUUGUGACUAUGGGGCUGCCGUAACAAAGCACCACAAGCUGCGCGGCUUAAACCACAGAAAUGUAUUGCUUCAUGGUUCUGGAGGCUGAAAAUCCGAGAUCAAGAUGUCGGCAGGGCCAUGCUCCUUCGGAAGGUGCGAGGCAAGGCUCUGUUCCAGGCCUCUCUCCCAGCUGCCGGUGGUUCCUUGGCUUGUGGCAGGAUACCUCCAAUCUCCACAUGGCGUUCUCUGUGUGUGUGUGUGUGUGUGUGUGUGUGAGUGUUUCUGCACCCAAAUUUCC